GGCCUUGCUCUUAUGUCAUCUGACUAAAAGUUUCAUAGACCAAAGAUAACCAUCCAACCUGUUGGAAUACUGAAACAAUUGCUGCCUGCUUUCCACACACUACAUAAAACAUGUGGAUAUCCUAAAUUCUACAAAAAAGAUUUGUAAGCAGAUCAAGCAAUACUGGGACUCCCUCUUCUCCAGAAGAGACAUCCUGGCCUCCAUGCAGAGGAAUGUGUGGAUGGACAUAUAUUUAAGGAAGACACUAAACCAGAAAAUACUACAUUACACCCUCUUAAAAGACUUCUAAGAUUGUUGUCAUGCCUACCACUGACAUUCAGAUGAUGUGUAUUCUUGAUUGUGAUUUCAUGUUUGGAGCUGAUGAAGGAGUUUGAAGUCUCCAGAGCAGCAAGGAGAGUGGGGAGUAGAACUCAUCAUCUUUAGGUCACUCAUCCCCG
RNAcentral lists this long non-coding RNA (437 nucleotides) under Mus musculus (house mouse). Its description in RNAcentral is "predicted gene 29071". Lineage: Eukaryota; Metazoa; Chordata; Mammalia; Rodentia; Muridae. The record is from RNAcentral.